This 785-nucleotide ribosomal RNA is filed under the name Neobodo designis. RNAcentral's name for it is "partial Bacterial small subunit ribosomal RNA". It matches the Rfam family "Bacterial small subunit ribosomal RNA", at positions 1 to 786 of the family's 1533-position model. The record is from RNAcentral. Lineage: Eukaryota; Euglenozoa; Kinetoplastea; Neobodonida; Neobodonidae.
UUGAAGAGUUUGAUCAUGGCUCAGAUUGAACGCUGGCGGCAGGCCUAACACAUGCAAGUCGAACGGUAACAUUUCUAGCUUGCUAGAAGAUGACGAGUGGCGGACGGGUGAGUAAUGCUUGGGAACUUGCCUUUGCGAGGGGGAUAACAGUUGGAAACGACUGCUAAUACCGCAUAACGUCUUCGGACCAAACGGGGCUUCGGCUCCGGCGCAAAGAGAGGCCCAAGUGAGAUUAGCUAGUUGGUAAGGUAACGGCUUACCAAGGCGACGAUCUCUAGCUGUUCUGAGAGGAAGAUCAGCCACACUGGGACUGAGACACGGCCCAGACUCCUACGGGAGGCAGCAGUGGGGAAUAUUGCACAAUGGGGGAAACCCUGAUGCAGCCAUGCCGCGUGUGUGAAGAAGGCCUUCGGGUUGUAAAGCACUUUCAGUUGUGAGGAAAAGUUAGUAGUUAAUACCUGCUAGCCGUGACGUUAACAACAGAAGAAGCACCGGCUAACUCCGUGCCAGCAGCCGCGGUAAUACGGAGGGUGCAAGCGUUGUCCGGAUUUAUUGGGUUUAAAGGGUGCGUAGGCGGAUCUUUAAGUCAGUGGUGAAAUCCUGCAGCUUAACUGUAGAACUGCCAUUGAUACUGUAGAUCUUGAAUCAUUAUGAAGUGGUUAGAAUGUGUAGUGUAGCGGUGAAAUGCAUAGAUAUUACACAGAAUACCGAUUGCGAAGGCAGAUCACUAAUAAUGUAUUGACGCUGAUGGACGAAAGCGUAGGUAGCGAACAGGAUUAGAUACC